RNAcentral lists this ribosomal RNA (1547 nucleotides) under Ischnocnema parva. RNAcentral's name for it is "partial 16S ribosomal RNA". It matches the Rfam family "Bacterial large subunit ribosomal RNA", at positions 408 to 2925 of the family's 2925-position model. The record is from RNAcentral. Lineage: Eukaryota; Metazoa; Chordata; Amphibia; Anura; Brachycephalidae.
CCAAAAAUUUAGCCCACCCAACCUCUAUCACACCCAACAACCAACUAAAAUAUUUUAUCACCUAGUAGAGACGAUCAAAACCUUAACAAGAGCUAUAUUAAAGUACCGCAAGGGAAAAAUGAAAUAUAAUGAAAACUAUAAAGCACAAAAAAGUAAAGCCUACAUCUUGUACCUUUCGCAUCAUGAUUUAACUAGUCCAACCAAGCAAAAAGACUUUUAGUUUGAAUCCCCGAAACCGGGUGAGCUACUUAGGGGCAGCUUACCGAGCAAACCCGUCCCUGUUGCAAAAGGGUGGGAAGACCCCCUAGUAGAGGUGACAAACCUACCGAACCCUGUGAUAGCUGGUUACUCGAAAAAAGAAUCUUAGUUCAACCUAAAGUAAUCCGUAAAUAAAAUUACCACUUUAGAGUAAUUCAAAUAAGGUACAGCCUAUUUGAAACAGGAUACAACCUCUGACAACGGCUAAUAACAAAAUAUCUAAUCAAGUGGGCCUAAAAGCAGCCACCUUUGAAGAGCGUCAAAGCCUAAUUUCCCCACACCCCUAAUACCAAAACCCCCACAGAAUCCUUCAUCAGUAUCGAGUACUUCUAUGCCACCAUAGAAACUUUUAUGUUAAAACUAGUAACAAGAAAACACUUCUCUUUAAUGUAAGUAUAAAUCAGAAUGGACUCUCCACUGAUAAUUACACCUUCUAACAACAACUCACCCACGAAAACCCUGCCCCUUAAGCGGUUAACCUUACACAAGAACAUUACAAGAAUGAUUUAAAGAAAAAGAAGGAACUCGGCAAACACUAAUUCCGCCUGUUUACCAAAAACAUCGCCUCCUGAUAAUCAUAAGAGGUCUAGCCUGCCCAGUGACACUAGUUCAACGGCCGCGGUAUCCUGACCGUGCGAAGGUAGCGUAAUCAUUUGUCUUUUAAAUUAAGACUCGUAUGAAAGGCACCACGAGAAUUAAACUGUCUCCUUUUUCUAAUCUAUGAAACUGAUCUCCCCGUGAAGAAGCGGGGAUUUUAAUAUAAGACGAGAAGACCCUAUGGAGCUUCAGACGAAUAAUAAUGCCCUCCCCCUUCCUCACUAAAAUACCAGGGCAUCUUAAUUAUUUAGUCUUGGGUUGGGGCGACCAUGGAGUAAAAAUCACCCUCCAUGCUGAACAGGACCUCCUUAAAUAAGAGCAACAGCUCUAUGAAUCAAUAAAUUGACACAUUUGACCCAAUUACUUGAUCAACGAAACAAGUUACCCUAGGGAUAACAGCGCAAUCCACUUCAAGAGCCCUUAUCAACAAGUGGGUUUACGACCUCGAUGUUGGAUCAGGGUAUCCCAGUGGUGCAGCCGCUACUAAAGGUUUGUUUGUUCAACAAUUAAAACCCUACGUGAUCUGAGUUCAGACCGGAGAAAUCCAGGUCAGUUUCUAUCUAUAAAGAGCUUUUUCCAGUACGAAAGGACCGUAACAGCGCGACCCAUGCAAAUUGUAAGUCGUUGUUAGCAAAUUAUGUCACUUAAUAAAAUACUAACCCCUUCCCCCCAUUCAAAGAAGAAUAAUAAUU